CUGGGGUCAGGUCCAAAGCAAACUGCCUGAUUAGCGAAACAAUUUGUAUUUUACAAUGACAGCAAAUAGGUAAAUCUUGUGAGCAUCAGGAAAUCCUGGAGGAUUUUGAAUGGGAGCACUGACGGGUUUGCAGGUUGGAGUUUGAUUAGAAGGAGUCAUUGCCUCUGCUUUUUUGCACUCACGUCGCAGGGAUGUAAACAAGAGGGACCCAAUUUGCUAAGGAUUGACGAGCCCUCAGAUGCCGAUUUACUGUACAUGGCAGCCACGCUGGAGCCGAGGCACAUCUGGAGUGGAGUAAGCUUACUCAGAAACAGGGGCCAGCUCCAGCCGGAGCCAGCGGAGCUGAGCGCGGCGCUGAAAGGCAGCCCUCCUGCCUCCCCUUCCCUCCUCCCUGGAUCCCAGGGCCAAAAUUCCUCAUGAACCGCCUUGGACAGGUCUCAGUCUUCUCACCCAGGGAUGCACUGGGCAUUACCUCCCUAUGGCUGCUUAAAACCAGUCGAGGUGAAAUUCGGUAAGGAAGGGACUGACAGCGUGGCAGAGGUGUUGGUCAGCUUGGAAAGACUGAACUGCACAUCUCCAAGGUCUGUAACAACCUUUCUGUGCCUGAAACCUGAAGCAGCAUCAUGGGUCCAGGGACAAAUCCAGGGGCGGUACACCAUUUUGCAUUAUCUAGGUGAUUACUGAGACAGAUAAAAUGGUUUGUUUGGGGAGAAAUGAUUUAUUUGGAAAAAAACAACAUUUCUAUGCAGAAAAGCUUAUGGAACCAGUCUCAAAAGUAAAGCUGUUUGGCAAACUUCAGAGAGACCUUGGCAGUUGACUGAAAUCUAAACUUUUCACAGGGACAGUUGGAUUUUGGCUAAGUUCUUCUGGAAGCCUGCAGGGCUCUGGAGGAGUCCUGCCAGGCUGGCAGACCAUUGCUCAACCCUCAGACUGCCAGGAUAGAGGAUUGAUGGCCUGUCAUUGCAGAAUGGCCCACCAAGUAGAGUACCUUUGAACUAGAGACCUCAGGGCUUCCAGGUUUCGAAACUGGGACAACACUUGUUUUGAAACUUUGUUGAUAUGUUUUGAUAUGCAUUGGAAAUAUUUUGAUUUCAAUGAAUUACCAAAUCCUGACCCCAAAAUAUGUUCCAUAGGAGUUUUUUGAACAGCUUUAUUCCAGUCUAAGUUUAAUGACUCUGAGGGGGAAAAAAAAAAAGGUUUCUCCAAAAAUAAAGUAGAAAUAAAACAGAAUCCAAUGAAUGACUCUGAAGCAGGGUUCAUCUGACCCUAUUUACUGGGUAUCCCUGUAAUUCCGCUGUUGUCCUUGGAUCUCCAGUAGACUGGUCUGGGCUCAGUUAAACAAUUCUUGUCUUAAUUUUGAACAUGAUAUCCUGAUAGUAAUUGUUUAACUGUUUUUUUUUUUCUCCCUUUCCAUUUAGCGGACAUUUGAAAUUGAUUCAACUUCUUGUUUUGCACUAGUGCCAAAAGUGUCCAUGAAGCCUCGAAAUGAAAUCUUCUUGGUAGAUGACUACGCAUCCUGCUGGUUAUGCUAUUGUGAUUAUAUUAAUAGCAUGUUCCCCAACUUAAGCAAUGUGCAGGUGCAAAACUCUCAUUCAGCAGUACAUAACUCUUUCAUCUGCCGUUUCUUGCCAGUAGAUUUCCUGCCCAUAUGAAUGUUUCUUGUGAAAUUUUUGGAGAAUAGCUGCUGGGGUUUUGCCAGUUGUAAGAAAACAAACACACAAACAACCCCCUUCCAGUACUCAGCAAACUCCCCCUUCCCCAGUCUUCUCUUUUGGAAACUACGACUUCGUAGUAGAUGUUCUAGAUCUAACAAAAAAAGACUAGUUGUGAAAAAAUAAACUUUGUGGAUUAAUGUACCAAAAGUAAAAAAUCUGCUAGAGCUGAGUGGUGCCAAUAAUGUCACCAGAGCCUGCCUGUGUAUGGGUAUGUCCCUUUGGCUCACGUGGGUGCCUCACUUUAAAUAUGUGCCCAUGCCUAUCCUUACUCACUCACUCACUCUGUAAAGGUUUAUUUGAAUCCUAUCCAGUUAUAUUAGACUUAAAAGAGAAUUGGCCGUGGCAAAUAAUAAUCAAUUUUUAAAGAGGCCUUAACACAGUGGCUUGGUUUUUUUUUUGAAGCAAACGCAACUUCGGGACUUACGUGCAUGCUCAAGCAGCAGUGAAACCUGUGGAACUUGCAUUCACAAACUGUGUUUAUUCCAGUGGGCUUCGUGCUCUGUGAACAUCAUGCAGAAAUGAAGACAGAAGAGCAAUUCGAGAAUCGGAAGAGAUUUAAGGGUUUGAAAAGUGUAUCAGUAGGUGUUAGUAUGCAAAAAUAUAUGUGUGUGGGAAAAGGGCAGUUAAACUAACCUAGCUAGUAAUACUGUACUUUAAAGGGCAAUAGAUCUCUUUAACAUCUAAAUAAAUGGAGAAAUCUGCCUAGAAGUAAAAAAAA
Long non-coding RNA from Grus americana (Whooping crane), 2433 nucleotides. RefSeq lists it as uncharacterized. The transcript is spliced from 3 exons. The record is from RefSeq and is a predicted model, not a curated record. Lineage: Eukaryota; Metazoa; Chordata; Aves; Gruiformes; Gruidae.